CCCUUAGAUGUCCUGGGCCGCACGCGCGCUACACUGAUGCAUGCAACGAGUUUCAUUUCUCCUGGGUCGAGAGGCCCGGGUAAUCUGUUGAACGUGCAUCGUGAUAGGGAUAGAUCAUUGCAAUUAUUGAUCUUGAACGAGGAAUUCCUAGUAAACGCGAGUCAUCAGCUCGCAUUGAUUACGUCCCUGCCCUUUGUACACACCGCCCGUCGCUACUACCGAUUGAACGGUUUAGUGAGGGCCUCGGAUUGGUCUCGGCCCGCUCUUUACCGGGCGGCGCCGUUGGUCGAGAAGACGCUCGAACUUGAUCGUUUAGAGGAAGUAAAAGUCGUAACA
This 336-nucleotide ribosomal RNA is filed under the name uncultured eukaryote. RNAcentral describes it as "partial 18S ribosomal RNA". It matches the Rfam family "Eukaryotic small subunit ribosomal RNA", at positions 1470 to 1796 of the family's 1831-position model. The record is from RNAcentral.